UACAGAGGUGGCAAGCGUUGUUCGGAAUUACUGGGCGUAAAGCGUGCGCAGGCGGUUAUGUAAGACAGGUGUGAAAUCCCCGGGCUUAACCUGGGAACUGCAUUUGUGACUGCAUAGCUAGAGUACGGUAGAGGGGGAUGGAAUUCCGCGUGUAGCAGUGAAAUGCGUAGAUAUGCGGAGGAACACCGAUGGCGAAGGCAAUCCCCUGGACCUGUACUGACGCUCAUGCACGAAAGCGUGGGGAGCAAACAGG
RNAcentral lists this ribosomal RNA (253 nucleotides) under uncultured bacterium. RNAcentral describes it as "partial 16S ribosomal RNA". It matches the Rfam family "Bacterial small subunit ribosomal RNA", at positions 524 to 776 of the family's 1533-position model. The record is from RNAcentral.